Bemisia tabaci is the source of this 778-nucleotide non-coding RNA. NCBI's taxonomy places the organism in Eukaryota, Metazoa, Arthropoda, Insecta, Hemiptera, Aleyrodidae. The record is from RefSeq and is a predicted model, not a curated record.
UUAUCGUGAUACAAUACUAAGUGCGUGCUGGUGGCGCGUGAAGCAUACUCCCCCGGUUGCAGGCGUUUUUUACGUCGCGCAUCUUUCACUAUGAGUGAAGCCUCUUACGAUUUUCACCGAUGGUAUAGCGACGAUCUGCCGUCCACACACGCGUGAGGUGGCUAUUCUCCGAGGCACAACAAUCAAAGUGUACUGUGUGUGUGUGUACUGUGUGUGUGGUCGUAGUGUCCCGAGAGCAGCAGAUAUGUUAUCAAACGCGCAACUUUGUUUUAUUUAUGAUGAUGAAACAAUCGCUCAAAAUGGUUGCAGAACGGAAAUUUUACUGCGUACAUAGUUCGGGGCCCCUCUGCUCGAGACGUUGUUUCUAAGAAGAAGAAAAAAAUUCUGCCGUCUGGGAUACUGCGCAGAAAGCUUUUACAUCGAAGCAGCGUUGACUGAUUUUUGAAAAAUUGGCAUUUUUAUCAGCGAUCGGAUAUUACCCUCUACGAGCAGUGCCCGGUUUUAAUGCAGACACCUUAAAUUCGAAAUGAGGGGCUCUUGAAAUUGAAAGAGGUAUCUUCCUCCCAAAUAAAUUGGCUGACGUUGAAAACAACCUAAACUCGUCAAAGACCAACCACUACCCAGGCUGAAAAUCCGAAAAGCAAUUCCGAUUUCGUCGAGCAAAAUAUCCAGGAAACGAAACGCUUAUUGAUUUUCGCAAAGAACUUGUACAGUAGUUGGCAAUGUUGUGUCUUGGCAAAAGAACUGAUCAAACAAAAUAAAGAAAAUUGAUAAGCUA